AGUGAACGCUGGCGGUAGGCCUAACACAUGCAAGUCGAACGGCAGCACAGAGGAGCUUGCUCCUUGGGUGGCGAGUGGCGGACGGGUGAGGAAUACAUCGGAAUCUACUCUGUCGUGGGGGAUAACGUAGGGAAACUUACGCUAAUACCGCAUACGACCUACGGGUGAAAGCAGGGGAUCUUCGGACCUUGCGCGAUUGAAUGAGCCGAUGUCGGAUUAGCUAGUUGGCGGGGUAAAGGCCUACCAAGGCGACGAACCGUAGCUGGUCUGAGGGGAUGAUCCGCCAAACUGGAAAGGAGACACGGGCGAGACUCCUACGGGAGGCAGCAGUGGGGAAUAUUGGACAAUGGGCGCAAGCCUGAUCCAGCCAUACCGCGUGGGCGAAGAAGGCCUUCGGGUUGUAAAGCCCUUUUGUUGGGAAAGAAAUCCAUCUGGUUAAUACCCGGGUGGGAUGACGGUACCCAAAGAAUAAGCACCGGCUAACUUCGUGCCAGCCGCCGCGGUAA
RNAcentral lists this ribosomal RNA (506 nucleotides) under uncultured bacterium. Its description in RNAcentral is "partial 16S ribosomal RNA". It matches the Rfam family "Bacterial small subunit ribosomal RNA", at positions 29 to 523 of the family's 1533-position model. The record is from RNAcentral.